Molecule: ribosomal RNA, 626 nt
Filed under: Escherichia coli
Lineage: Bacteria; Pseudomonadati; Pseudomonadota; Gammaproteobacteria; Enterobacterales; Enterobacteriaceae
Description: partial 23S ribosomal RNA
Rfam family: Bacterial large subunit ribosomal RNA
Source: RNAcentral
AAGGUUAACCGAAUAGGGGAGCCGAAGGGAAACCGAGUCUUAACUGGGCGUUAAGUUGCAGGGUAUAGACCCGAAACCCGGUGAUCUAGCCAUGGGCAGGUUGAAGGUUGGGUAACACUAACUGGAGGACCGAACCGACUAAUGUUGAAAAAUUAGCGGAUGACUUGUGGCUGGGGGUGAAAGGCCAAUCAAACCGGGAGAUAGCUGGUUCUCCCCGAAAGCUAUUUAGGUAGCGCCUCGUGAAUUCAUCUCCGGGGGUAGAGCACUGUUUCGGCAAGGGGGUCAUCCCGACUUACCAACCCGAUGCAAACUGCGAAUACCGGAGAAUGUUAUCACGGGAGACACACGGCGGGUGCUAACGUCCGUCGUGAAGAGGGAAACAACCCAGACCGCCAGCUAAGGUCCCAAAGUCAUGGUUAAGUGGGAAACGAUGUGGGAAGGCCCAGACAGCCAGGAUGUUGGCUUAGAAGCAGCCAUCAUUUAAAGAAAGCGUAAUAGCUCACUGGUCGAGUCGGCCUGCGCGGAAGAUGUAACGGGGCUAAACCAUGCACCGAAGCUGCGGCAGCGACACUGUGUGUUGUUGGGUAGGGGAGCGUUCUGUAAGCCUGUGAAGGUGUGCUGUGAGG